This 497-nucleotide ribosomal RNA is filed under the name uncultured bacterium. Its description in RNAcentral is "partial 16S ribosomal RNA". It matches the Rfam family "Bacterial small subunit ribosomal RNA", at positions 28 to 507 of the family's 1533-position model. The record is from RNAcentral.
GAUGAACGCUGGCGGCGUGCCUAAUACAUGCAAGUCGAGCGAACGGACGAGAAGCUUGCUUCUCUGAUGUUAGCGGCGGACGGGUGAGUAACACGUGGAUAACCUACCUAUAAGACUGGGAUAACUUCGGGAAACCGGAGCUAAUACCGGAUAAUAUUUUGAACCGCAUGGUUCAAAAGUGAAAGACGGUCUUGCUGUCACUUAUAGAUGGAUCCGCGCUGCAUUAGCUAGUUGGUGAGGUAACGGCUUACCAAGGCAACGAUGCAUAGCCGACCUGAGAGGGUGAUCGGCCACCCUGGAACUGAGACACGGUCCAGACUCCUACGGGAGGCAGCAGUAGGGAAUCUUCCGCAAUGGGCGAAAGCCUGACGGAGCAACGCCGCGUGAGUGAUGAAGGUCUUCGGAUCGUAAAACUCUGUUAUUAGGGAAGAACAUAUGUGUAAGUAACUGUGCACAUCUUGACGGUACCUAAUCAGAAAGCCACGGCUAACUACGUG